UCCCUGGUGGUCCAGUGGCUAAGACUCUGUGCUCCCAAUGCAGGGGGCCUGGGUUCGAGCCCUGGACAAGGAG
Molecule: transfer RNA, 73 nt
Filed under: Bos taurus (domestic cattle)
Lineage: Eukaryota; Metazoa; Chordata; Mammalia; Artiodactyla; Bovidae
Also listed under: 2 other names
Rfam family: tRNA
About the family: Transfer RNA (tRNA) molecules are approximately 80 nucleotides in length. Their secondary structure includes four short double-helical elements and three loops (D, anti-codon, and T loops).
Source: Rfam by way of RNAcentral